Molecule: long non-coding RNA, 1458 nt
Organism: Ictalurus furcatus (blue catfish)
Lineage: Eukaryota; Metazoa; Chordata; Actinopteri; Siluriformes; Ictaluridae
Exons: 3
Source: RefSeq, a predicted model, not a curated record
AGUUCCUCCUACCUGCGAGGAGCUGAGCCAAAAGUGCAGGAGGUGGAGACAACUCUGUGUAUUUCAGGUUGGAUAAGUGUGUUUUAUGUGUUGUUUUGUGUUGUACAGCAUUGUGUGAGUUAGAGGUUAUGGCUUAGGCUAAUAGAAGCAGUUGGAUGAGAUCAUCAGAAUGAAGAUGCAAGAUGUGUAAAAAUGUGCAAACAACGACAAACUAGCUGUAUUUGCCAACACUUAAAUUAUAAGGUAUGCUAUAAGGUGUGUUACACACUCACACCUCAUCUAACUUGAUUUAUGAAGUCACUGUUAUAGGCUCACUGUUAAUGAUAAGCCUCAGUCAUAUUCAGUCAGGUGGCUGAAUAUCAUAUUCAUUCAGGUGGCUUGGUGGUGUAGGCUCUGUGUUACUGAUCGGAAGGUCGGGGGGUUCAAGCCCCAGCACUACCAAGCUGCCACUCUUAGGCCCUUGAGCAAGGCUCUUAACCCUCUCUUCUCCAGUGGCACUGCAUCAUGGCUGACCCUGCACUCUGACCCUAGCCCCCUGAUAUUCUGGGGUAUGCGAAGAAAAGAAUUUCACUGUGCUGUAAUGUAUAUGUGACCAAUAAAGAUUAUCCUGCUCCAUCCAAUGGGUUUUUGUUUCUGCAGAGAGGAGAGUGUGACUGACUGCAGUGCACCAGAGCAGCACAGUUUGGAUAGAAACACAAAACCCUUGAAACAAGAAACAAACAAACAACUUAAUGGAAUUUAAUCUAGUCAAGAGGACCAGCCAAAUAUAGCCAUAACUGCAGUCAAGCUUCACAGAGGCCAGAUCUCACACAAACAGAUGUGUUGGUGCCUCCAUUGAAGCCUGAACCUGCAAGUGCAUCCGAUUGGGUAAAAAAACUGGGCAGUGAGGACUGUACAGAAUGCAUGUGUACACACAGUAACCGGUACACUAUUUGCAAUGUUGCAGUCUAAUAUAAUUUAGGACAUGACGUUAUUGUCAUUAUGAAGUUGUUAUUAUUAAAAGUCACUGUAAUUUGCUGCUGUUGCUCACCUCUGCCAAAAUGGCUUUUAUGAGCUACAUUCAAACAAACACUUGCAGCUAGACACUGACACAGUUGUGUUGUAUUUGUCUAGCUAACUAUGUUGUGUAUAUUAAAGAGCUACUAGUUUGGAGAAUAACUUGUUUUUGUUGUGAGGAUACCAAAUUAGUCCAGAAUCUCCCAAGUAAAAUAAUUACACCUCAAGCAUUAAAGCCACCGUGGCAGUUUCCAAGCUCUUUAAAGCUUUCAGGUCUGUCUUGCUCUGAAAAUCCACACUGAUGUUUACUGUACUUAUCCUGUUCUAGACACAUUGUACCUGGGCUAGUCAAACACCUAACCCAGUAUGAGCAAAUACCAUUGCACACCGCAUUUUACAAAGCGGCACCAGACACUUUAUCAUUCAUCCCACCUCUCCCGGAAGUUCCAGGAGUCUCCAGGG